Molecule: ribosomal RNA, 245 nt
Filed under: uncultured bacterium
Lineage: Bacteria
Description: partial 16S ribosomal RNA
Rfam family: Bacterial small subunit ribosomal RNA
Source: RNAcentral
GACGGAGGGUGCAAGCGUUGUUCGGAAUUACUGGGCGUAAAGCGCGUGUAGGCGGUUCGAUAAGUCGAAUGUGAAAGCCCGAGGCUCAACUUCGGAAGUGCAUUCGAUACUGUCGGGCUUGAGUACGGGAGAGGGAAGCGGAAUUCCUGGUGUAGAGGUGAAAUUCGUAGAUAUCAGGAGGAACACCGGUGGCGAAGGCGGCUUCCUGGACCGAUACUGACGCUGAGACGCGAAAGCGUGGGGAG